AUCUACCACUUCUAGGAUUUCGAACCCAAUACCUGAGCAUGGAUAGUCAAACUUCAUGAUUGAGAAUGUAGAUCUAGAAGUCCUCUCUGGUCACUCAUAGCUGCAUAAGCAUCUGGCCUCUACGGAUGGUCUACACGAAGCCCCUCGAACCGAUUAGCCCUCUAUGGGAGUGCUAGCUCGCGCAGUCAACUUCUAAUGAUAGAGCCAAUUUGAUCUCCUUCUUCGAUUGUCUCAAAUCUUUCUGAUAUCGAAGAUGGAUCAGAGGAGGAUGCUGGAUGGUGGAGAAAAAAUCAGAUGAAGACUCUCUUCUCGAGAGGAGAACGGUCUCCUCUUUUGUUCACACCAAAGAAGAAUGAAACCAACCCAAAGUUCAUGUCCCAAAGAAGGAUUUUCUUCCCACUCUCUUUGAUCUCUCAUGGUAAAAAGCUCUCUUAGUUUGGCACACAAAAAUAUCACCUUUUUUAUGAUUGUUACACAAACCAGAUAAGACAUGAUAAGGGCUGGAGUUUGUUGCAAUUCAAACCAUUUUGAAUUUCAAUUUAACUCUAACUUUUUUUCACCCUUAUCUAACUUAAAGAGGGACUUAUCAAGAAAAAGUGAGAAUAAAAAUCAAUUGAAAAGAACUUUUUUUUU
RNAcentral lists this long non-coding RNA (633 nucleotides) under Elaeis guineensis (African oil palm). Its description in RNAcentral is "long non-coding RNA (EGUI_LNC077650)". The record is from RNAcentral. Lineage: Eukaryota; Viridiplantae; Streptophyta; Magnoliopsida; Arecales; Arecaceae.